GACGAACGCUGGCGGCGUGCCUAAUACAUGCAAGUAGAACGCUGAAGAGAGGAGCUUGCUCUUCUUGGAUGAGUUGCGAACGGGUGAGUAACGCGUAGGUAACCUGCCUUGUAGCGGGGGAUAACUAUUGGAAACGAUAGCUAAUACCGCAUAACAAUGGAUGACACAUGUCAUUUAUUUGAAAGGGGCAAUUGCUCCACUACAAGAUGGACCUGCGUUGUAUUAGCUAGUAGGUGAGGUAACGGCUCACCUAGGCGACGAUACAUAGCCGACCUGAGAGGGUGAUCGGCCGCACUGGGACUGAGACACGGCCCAGACUCCUACGGGAGGCAGCAGUAGGGAAUCUUCGGCAAUGGGGGCAACCCUGACCGAGCAACGCCGCGUGAGUGAAGAAGGUUUUCGGAUCGUAAAGCUCUGUUGUAAGUCAAGAACGAGUGUGAGAGUGGAAAGUUCACACUGUGACGGUAGCUUACCAGAAAGGGACGGCUAACUACGUGCCAGCAGCCGCGGUAAUACGUAGGUCCCGAGCGUUGUCCGGAUUUAUUGGGCGUAAAGCGAGCGCAGGCGGUUUGAUAAGUCUGAAGUUAAAGGCUGUGGCUCAACCAUAGUUCGCUUUGGAAACUGUCAAACUUGAGUGCAGAAGGGGAGAGUGGAAUUCCAUGUGUAGCGGUGAAAUGCGUAGAUAUAUGGAGGAACACCGGUGGCGAAAGCGGCUCUCUGGUCUGUAACUGACGCUGAGGCUCGAAAGCGUGGGGAGCGAACAGGAUUAGAUACCCUGGUAGUCCACGCCGUAAACGAUGAGUGCUAGGUGUUGGAUCCUUUCCGGGAUUCAGUGCCGCAGCUAACGCAUUAAGCACUCCGCCUGGGGAGUACGACCGCAAGGUUGAAACUCAAAGGAAUUGACGGGGGCCCGCACAAGCGGUGGAGCAUGUGGUUUAAUUCGAAGCAACGCGAAGAACCUUACCAGGUCUUGACAUCCCGAUGCUAUUUCUAGAGAUAGAAAGUUACUUCGGUACAUCGGUGACAGGUGGUGCAUGGUUGUCGUCGGCUCGUGUCGUGAGAUGUUGGGUUAAGUCCCGCAACGAGCGCAACCCCUAUUGUUAGUUGCCAUCAUUCAGUUGGGCACUCUAGCGAGACUGCCGGUAAUAAACCGGAGGAAGGUGGGGAUGACGUCAAAUCAUCAUGCCCCUUAUGACCUGGGCUACACACGUGCUACAAUGGUUGGUACAACGAGUUGCGAGUCGGUGACGGCAAGCUAAUCUCUUAAAGCCAAUCUCAGUUCGGAUUGUAGGCUGCAACUCGCCUACAUGAAGUCGGAAUCGCUAGUAAUCGCGGAUCAGCACGCCGCGGUGAAUACGUUCCCGGGCCU
This 1369-nucleotide ribosomal RNA is filed under the name uncultured bacterium. RNAcentral's name for it is "bacterial SSU rRNA". It matches the Rfam family "Bacterial small subunit ribosomal RNA", at positions 28 to 1381 of the family's 1533-position model. The record is from RNAcentral.